UACGUAGGGCGCAAGCGUUGUCCGGAAUUAUUGGGCGUAAAGAGCUCGUAGGCGGUCUGUCGCGUCGGCUGUGAAAACCCGGGGCUCAACCCCGGGCCUGCAGUCGAUACGGGCAGACUAGAGUGCGGUAGGGGAGACUGGAAUUCCUGGUGUAGCGGUGGAAUGCGCAGAUAUCAGGAGGAACACCGGUGGCGAAGGCGGGUCUCUGGGCCGAGAUUGACGCUGAGGAGCGAAAGCUAGGGGAGCAAACGGG
This 253-nucleotide ribosomal RNA is filed under the name uncultured bacterium. Its description in RNAcentral is "partial 16S ribosomal RNA". It matches the Rfam family "Bacterial small subunit ribosomal RNA", at positions 524 to 776 of the family's 1533-position model. The record is from RNAcentral.